UUGUUUUAUUUAUUUGUUAAAAUUACAAUCAAUUCUCGCGUUGAGAAUUUUCAGUAAUUUUUCUGGCGUGGCGCAGUGACAUGGCUGUUUAUUUACAAUAAGUUAAUACUUAUUAUAGAUAGGUAUAAUUUAUAAGUAUUAUAAGUAAGUGCAUAUGCUUAAUUUGGAUAACUAAAUGAAUCUAGCGUUUAGGUCUAGCGGGUAGUGCCUCUUCAGCCUGCGAAUCUGGUCCGUCGUAUCAAGUAGUCCAAUGAUUAGGGGGUUUCGGUGUUUGUUGACUCUUUUGCUAUAUCUGUCGCUAUAUUUUGCUAUUUCCUCUUUGACUGUGGGUAUCUUGAGGUAGCGAUGUAUUGUUUCGUUGAUAACAUACCAAGGUGCAUCUAUUAAGGAUCUUAGCGUUUUCGAUUGGAAGCACUGAAGUAUUUCAAUGUUGGAGUUACUUGCUGUUCCCCAUAGUUGGAUUCCGUAGGUCCAGACAGGUUUUAUUACGGUCUUGUAGAGGGUAAUUUUAUUCUGUAUGUUUAGUUUGGAGCGUCGGCCCGUGAGCCAAUAGAAUUUUUUUAGUUUGUCCUUUAGUUGCUUCGUAUUAUCUGAGAUGAUUAAAGAAAUAAAUCUAUCAAAUUCGAAGAUGGUAUCCCACUGGGGGUAGCCAUCCACAUGUUAUAUUGCUAUAUCACUGAGCUAUAAUAUUUUACCAAAUGUCCUACUGGACAAAUUGUAAAAUGUAAAUAAAUAAAUAAAUAAAUAAAUAAAAAAAAACCUAUGCGAAUGAUAGGAAUCGCUUUGAUCGGGAAUGAAGAAACAGAGAGGGGAGAACGGAAUGAAAUGUAGUCGGUCGAUAGACGUUGGAUGCGAGCUUUCUAAGCUGUCCGGCUGAAUGAGCCCACAACAUGUACAUACUUACUUACACUUUGCCAAUGGGAAUGAGACGAGAUAAUGCAUGGUGGGUGUCAUCCGGUGACUACCUACACGCUGCUUAACUUCCUUCCUGCAUCUCUGUACUCGACGUUCUUGUCCAAAUCCUCUAGUUAUUCCUAGAUAGAACUGCAUUUUCUAAAUAUGAAAGAAACCGAAACGGAGUUGAUCGUGCCAUGGGGUAAAUUGCAGCUAUAAAUGGAACAAAAGCAUCGAACUACUAUGCACGUGAUAUUGUUUUUCACGUGUUUCGCGCGUAGUUACGCCAAGUAUUUUUCUGUUGCGCUGGUACAAUUUUCGCGCUAAUAAACCAAACAGUGACACACCACCGUACGCGGCGGCUCCUCACGCUGUGGAAAUUUCCAUUCGUGAAAACCAGUGGCGUAGUCAACCGCUUAUUCCGCACUGAAACUCCUUCCACUUGCAUUCAACUUCCGUACUCAUAUUUCGACAUAUCCAAAAUGUUUGGUGUCCAGCCUGCGUAUAAAUGCCAAUGGUAGGCAUCUUCGAUUCAUUCGUAGGGUAAAUUCGAAUCAUUCUCUAUGUCACCAUUAUCUAUUAUUUCAAUGAUUUUAUCGAGAAUGAUAGCCAUAAAUCACGCGUUGAUAAAUUAAUGCUUUUUUCAUCGCAUAGUAAGCUAUUUUUUCGUUUCUACAUUAGUAUGUGGAAGAUAACGAGAAUAUCCAUGUAUUGCAACAUCAUGAUCCAAUGAUUCCAACAACUUUGACAUAUUGGAUAUGUAAAAAUUAUCGACUACGGUCGUUUCCAUAAUAAUUAUUUUUAGCUUCACUGGCUAAAUAUUUUUUAAUGCCGUUCUUUACUCUUGACCUCGUUAAAUUUAUUUAGAGAUAUCAGUUGAUCGAAACACGAGUUUCAUUUCAUACUUACUAGAAUUAAGUUGCCUUCAAAUUUGAGCAUAAAGCACAUAAAAGAUCAAUCCGAAUAUUGCAGCGGACUAUGGUAAACAGCAGAUGGUUUCAACGAUUGGCUGUGAAUUUCAGUUGCGCAAUGUCGAUCGUGUGUUAUCUCAUUUUUAAUUUCUGAUAAUAACAGGCUAAACGGUAUAACAAUUUUGACAAUGCAAAUCUCGUUGAAGUUUUCUACGUACGAUUCAUUGUUAUUCAUGUGUUACGUCAAAGUAACGAUUGCAAGCGACUACGAUGACGUUAGCUGCCGCAGAAUAAACUAAAAAUACGACUAUUUCCUCUAGGCUUUUUCAAAUAAUAUCACGAAAAGAACGAGUUUGCCGCAAUUAUCAAAAGAAACUCGUGGAAGUAUUCUUACAAGCGGCUCGUGUAUGAUUGAGUUACAUUCACACAGUGUUAUUUUAACGCAAAGUAUCAUUUUAGUUAGAUUUUAUUUUUGAGAACUCCAAGUAUAUCUAUCUAACGAGCUGACUGCUUGUGCAUUCAAAUUAAACAUAAAACGAAUAAAGUAUGUACAUAGUUAUGCUAUCAUUAACGAUAUUAAUAGCCGCAUAAACGAAAAAACUUAGUGUGGAGGUCGAUUGCAAUCGAAAAAUCAACGUACUCACGCAACAUUUAUGUAAAUGUGUUACAGAUACGGCAAAGGUGAUUCUAUUUAAAGUAUAACGAACUCGAAGAACGUCCUUUUGGUACUAUUUUAGUUAAGACGAUAUAUCGAUUAGUUUACCAACACAAUGCAUUUAAAUAUCAACCGGUAAUAUGAAUUUAUAUUUUUUUUCUUUAGAACGAACGAUUUAUUUCACAAUAUACAUACUUCAGCCUAUAGGUGCUAUCUGCAACAGGCGGUUACGUCGACAAUUCCGUCUUCCAAAUUUUCCUCGACUAUACGUUUAGCUUACCUUAUUUUCGAUGCUGAAAAUCGUUCGACGAAACUUUGAUUGCAAAUUGGGUUUCGACAAGUUUGUCAAAUCAAUCUUAAAACUUAAUAUCGUUCUUAUAUCUGCCAUACUUUUAAGAUCGAAUGCCCGAUGCCUGAUACAAUCGGUCUGUCGUUCGUCGAUCGUAUCAAUGCGAUCGUUUCUAUUCUUAUCGAUAUUAUUGGUAAAUCAUACUUGAAAAAUUCUAUAUAAUCAUGAGUCAUAACGAUUGCUCAUUCGUAACUCGAAUAUCAAAUGCUAUUUUGCACGUGUCAUCGUCGUAUUAAGCAACUAAUUGUCGUCAUAUUGAAAUUGUUGCGUGACUCAGUAUGAAAAAAUUACGCGAGCAUCCUAAGAAGCUGUGGGAACUUUCGCUUUCACAGGUUUACCUUUGGAAAAAAAUACUUCAGGAAAUUAAGAAAUACUCUGUUAAUACUUUGAAACUCAUUUAUUGAACAUGACAUAAAAAUCACGAUAUAUGAUAAUGAUGAACCGAGUCUAUUGUAAGCUUUCAAACUUUAGAUAUAUUAUUCAUCUUGAAUGUUCGCCUGUAAUAUCUUACUCGAAUGUCUUAACAAACGCUAACGGACUCGUUAUUUUAUACAUGUAUAAUUAUAUUCAUGGAAUGUGCACCCGUCAUUUCGCUUUCUUUUCCAUUUUGUACGUCCAUGUACGUAUAUACGUCCAGAAAAGAAAAAUAGGAAAAGAAAAAAAAAAGAUUGAUAACAGGUUUUUGACAAAAAAUUCCAAACGUUCGCUUAGUAUCGUAUAUUUUGUUAUUUCUUCUUUUUUCAAUCUUGAAAUAUUGAGAAAUUAAGAAGCUCGAUAAUGUACCCGACAUUUCAUUCUUGGUGAAGUUACGUUGAAGAACGAGCGUUACGGGCUUUUCAAUAACAAAAGCUGCUAUUUUAUAAAAAGAAAAAAAAAUAAAUACACAACAUAAGACCGAAAAAUAGCGAGAGAAUGAUAGAGGUUUGUGGUGGCAAAGAACGAACAGGUUGCCGCGGAAAAAGCAACAGCCGCUCGUGAAGUCUAUCAUGUAUGUAUAUAGAUGUUAUAUUUUUAUGCGAUCCUGGGGAUUUUGGCAGUGAUAUUCAAUCGUCAUGGUUGAGGAGAAAGUCAUUGAGGGAUCAACGAUACUAUGUAUAUCGACGAAUAAUGUCGUUUUGAAUCGCCAAAGCGACAAUUCUACUUCUACACUGCAAAAAUAUUAGACAAAAUAUGAAACGGCGAGCAUAUUCUACUUAUAAUACAAAAGCGUUAUUCAGGCCGUUUUAUUAUACGUAAAGUAUACCUAAGUAAAUACGUAAAAGGUACGUAAUAGGUUUCAACAUAAAGCUCACCAUGCAUAUCUCUAAACGCGAUAGAAAUUAUUUUCUGAUAUUUACGUUCGAUUCUAUCGCUCAAUCCAAGCCGAAACUAUCAAUUUGUACUUUCGUAUGAAAUUGCUCCUGACCGUUUCCCCAUGACUCGUACCUCCAUCUCCUCAGCCACGCGCUAAAAAUCAGCUCAAAAUGUCCCGAGUGAGGUAUAACGAAUAACCAUAACGUAGUUGCAAUAGUUAUACAAAAAAUAGUCAAAUUGUCGAAUAAUGUAUAUGUAUAUAUGCACACAACAGGCGCGCGACGAGCGCGUGUGCGUGUGUCGAUGUAUACGUAUGUACAUAUUCAAAUAUAUAUAAAUAUAUUUGUAUAUAUUCAUAUAGCUUUAUAGUUGCGCGAACAUUGUGACCGUAGAAUGAAAGUGGAUCGAGCUGGAACAGAUAAACUAUAAGAUACAUACAGCUAAGUGUUUUAUAAAUCGAAUUAAAAAGUAAUAAACGUUAUGUAAAUAUUUCGAAUCAAGGGGAAAAAUAUUAUAUACAAAAAGAUAGGAGGUCAAAGCUUCCAAUCCACGUUUACUCCGCGGUCCGAGGCCGCCGUAAUAAAUAGAUCGUAUUAUCUCGUCAAUCUCUAAAUUCUAAUAACACCAUUGUUCCUAAUCAGUACAAAUCAAUCAACGAAAUGAUGGAACGAAAUUUCGCCAAGGUUCGUGCAACGUUCUCGAUCCUUCGCGCGUCCCAACACUUCGUCAAGCACCACGUUUUAACAUCAGAUCGGUAAUUCUAUUGUUUUUCUGUUCUCUAAAGCAGUCUUACAUAUAACGGCAAUUUUUCUGAAUUAGUCCUUUCAUUCUUAUCGGAUCUGAUCUUUUCCUUAGUUCGUUCGUUCUUUCCUUCCCCGUUCAUCCCGUAUAUUCACUGAAAAGAAAAAGGAACAAAAAAAAAAAAGAAAAGAAAAAAAGGAAAGGAAACAAAGAGAAGAAAAACUGUCGGACAAUCGUCUUGAAAAUUAGGCGACGUGCUUCUCAUAUCAAAUUUGAUAAUCUUUUAGAAUUUAAUGUUGAACGAUAUCUAUAUAGAAAAUAAAUUAUCCCGAGAACAUGCUCGAUCGAAAAUUAAGGAAAAAUCGUUUGACCCUUCGUUCUCGUUCGGAUCAACAUUGUUAUUGAACGAGGAAAGAACUCGUCGCUGUCGCUAUCAAAGGACGCGCAUUGAUUGACGGAGAAUCGAAGCGUUCGUACGAAUUUUCGUAGUAACAAUAACAUUUCCCCAACUUCUACCUCCAUUUUUUUAUUUUUUUGUUUUUCUUUUAUAUGAUUGUUGCAAAAUAAUUCUACCUUAUAGCUUACGGUAUCACAGAGUUACACGCGGUAUCAUAUAAUUGCUCCCACUUCGUAAUUUCGCAAAACGAUAAGGAAAGCGCGUGAUCAUCUUAUUCGAAAAAUUGAAAAUUGCGGUAAUAUAUAGAUGGACGCAGACGAUGUCACCGUAUUACGCAUAUAAAAAACAAAC
Molecule: long non-coding RNA, 5591 nt
Organism: Bombus huntii
Lineage: Eukaryota; Metazoa; Arthropoda; Insecta; Hymenoptera; Apidae
Exons: 2
Source: RefSeq, a predicted model, not a curated record